RNAcentral lists this ribosomal RNA (305 nucleotides) under uncultured bacterium. RNAcentral's name for it is "bacterial SSU rRNA". It matches the Rfam family "Bacterial small subunit ribosomal RNA", at positions 332 to 658 of the family's 1533-position model. The record is from RNAcentral.
GGGACCUACGGGGGGCAGCAGUGGGGGAUAUUGCACAAUGGGGGAAACCCUGAUGCAGCGACGCCGCGUGGAGGAAGAAGGUCUUCGGAUUGUAAACUCCUGUCCCAGGGACGAAGAUGACGGUACCUGGGGAGGAAGCUCCGGCUAACUACGUGCCAGCAGCCGCGGUAAUACGUAGGGAGCAAGCGUUGUCCGGAAUUACUGGGUGUAAAGGGAGCGUAGGCGGGAUGGCAAGUUGGGUGUUAAAUCUACCGGCUCAACUGGUAGUCGCACUCAAAACUGCUAUUCUUGAGUGAAGUAGAGGC